This is a long non-coding RNA of Puntigrus tetrazona (Sumatra barb), 778 nucleotides long. RefSeq lists it as uncharacterized. The transcript is spliced from 5 exons. The record is from RefSeq and is a predicted model, not a curated record. NCBI's taxonomy places the organism in Eukaryota, Metazoa, Chordata, Actinopteri, Cypriniformes, Cyprinidae.
CGCAGACACCUGUUUGUCGUUAAGCCGUGAUGAUUCUUGAUCGUUGUUGGACGCGCGUGCAUGAACGGAUUGGAUAUCCACGCUUAGUUUUAUUAUAAAAAUCCUGAAUUUGCUAGUUUUAUUUUCUGACCCGUCUGUGACCCAUCAGUUAAGACUCCUUGUUGAACACCGUGAUAAAGUUCCAAGUAGAUUAAAAGUCAAAGAAUUUCCUCCUGAGUGAAAAUCAGUAUAUCCGGUGGAUGUUUGGCGCGACCCAACCAAUUAAGCAGGAGAUUUUGAGCAGAACCCUUUCAGGAUGAUGGUUGAUACAAAAUCCAGAAGACAUUAAAAGUCUGGAUCUGCUAGACAUCAGCAGUGACCUUUUUCAUCUCAAAGUCAGCUGUCAACUACCCAGAGGUCACAGUCUGCAAUCUGAGUGCUGACCGUCACUUCUCUGGUCCAAGGCUUUGGGUUGCACAGACAUUUCCGUCUCCCACCUUCUGCUCCAAACCCCUAGAAACAACCAUAUGGGGUCUUGACUCUGGGCCCGUGACUCAUGAUUCGCCAAGCAACAGAUGGACGCCUCCUAGAAUAUACAACAACAGCUUCGAACUCACUCUAGUGAACAUAACGUGCCUUAUUCACCCUAAACCUAGAGUCAGAUAUGGUACAGUGCAUGUCUAGAAUUUAGUGCCACCUACACUGCAAAAAAAUUCAGUAUUUGUGACUUGUUUUACAGCACAAUUUUUUUGUCAUCUAAUCAAUGUAUUCAAAUCGUGUUUAUGCUAUAUACUAUACU